RNAcentral lists this ribosomal RNA (866 nucleotides) under Providencia stuartii. RNAcentral's name for it is "bacterial SSU rRNA". It matches the Rfam family "Bacterial small subunit ribosomal RNA", at positions 62 to 873 of the family's 1533-position model. The record is from RNAcentral. Lineage: Bacteria; Pseudomonadati; Pseudomonadota; Gammaproteobacteria; Enterobacterales; Morganellaceae.
UCGGGUAACAGGAGAAGAAAGCUUUGCUUUUCUUGCUAGACGAGCGGCCGCGAUGGAGUGAGUAAUGUAUGGGGAUCUGCCCGAUAGAGGGGGAUAACUACUGGAAACGGUGGCUAAUACCGCAUAAUGUCUACAGACCAAAGCGGGGGCUCUUCAGACCUUGCACUAUCGGAUGAACCCAUAUGGGAUUAGCUAGUAGGUGGGGUAAAGGCUCACCUAGGCGACUAUCUCUAGCUGGUCUGAGAGGAUGAUCAGCCACACUGGGACUGACACACGGCCCACACUCCUACGGGAGGCAGCAGUGGGGAAUAUUGCACAAUGGGCGCAAGCCUGAUGCACCCAUGCCGCGUGUAUGAAGAAGGCCUUAGGGUUGUAAAGUACUUUCAGCGGGGAGGAAGGUGAUAAGGUUAAUACCCUUGUCAAUUGACGUUACCCGCAAAAAAACCACCGGCUAACUCCGUGCCACCACCCGCGGUAAUACGGAGGGUGCAAGCGUUAAUCAGAAUUACUGGGCGUAAAGCGCACGCAGGCGGUGUAUUAAGUCAAAUGUGAAAGCCCCGAGCUUAACUUGGGAAAUGCCUCUGAGACUGGUUUGCUAGAGUCUUGUAGAGGGGGGUAGAAUUCCGUGUGUACCGGUGAAAUGCGUAUAGAUGUGGAGGAAUACCCGUGGGGAAAGCGGCCCCCUGGACAAACACAGACUCUCAUGUGAGACAACGUGUGGAGCACACGGGAGCAUAUACCCCGGUGGUCCUCCCCCUAAACAAUGUCGAUUUAUAGGGUGUGCUCGUGAAGCCACCCCCCUUUAGCAAACUCGUUGUAUACACCGUCCGGGGGGGUAUUCCCGGGUUGAGAGGGGGGGAUUUUAA